This 497-nucleotide ribosomal RNA is filed under the name uncultured bacterium. RNAcentral's name for it is "partial 16S ribosomal RNA". It matches the Rfam family "Bacterial small subunit ribosomal RNA", at positions 28 to 507 of the family's 1533-position model. The record is from RNAcentral.
GAUGAACGCUGGCGGCGUGCCUAAUACAUGCAAGUCGAGCGAACGGACGAGAAGCUUGCUUCUCUGAUGUUAGCGGCGGACGGGUGAGUAACACGUGGAUAACCUACCUAUAAGACUGGGAUAACUUCGGGAAACCGGAGCUAAUACCGGAUAAUAUUUUGAACCGCAUGGUUCAAAAGUGAAAGACGGUCUUGCUGUCACUUCUAGAUGGAUCCGCGCUGCAUUAGCUAGUUGGUAAGGUAACGGCUUACCAAGGCAACGAUGCAUAGCCGACCUGAGAGGGUGAUCGGCCACACUGGAACUGAGACACGGUCCAGACUCCUACGGGAGGCAGCGGUAGGGAAUCUUCCGCAAUGGGCGAAAGCCUGACGGAGCAACGCCGCGUGAGUGAUGAAGGUCUUCGGAUCGUAAAACUCUGUUAUUAGGGAAGAACAUAUGUGUAAGUAACUGUGCACAUCUUGACGGUACCUAAUCAGAAAGCCACGGCUAACUACGUG